RNAcentral lists this ribosomal RNA (462 nucleotides) under Bifidobacterium breve. RNAcentral describes it as "bacterial SSU rRNA". It matches the Rfam family "Bacterial small subunit ribosomal RNA", at positions 212 to 681 of the family's 1533-position model. Lineage: Bacteria; Bacillati; Actinomycetota; Actinomycetes; Bifidobacteriales; Bifidobacteriaceae. The record is from RNAcentral.
UUUGCGGCAUGGGANGGGGUCGCGUCCUAUCAGCUUGAUGGCGGGGUAACGGCCCACCAUGGCUUCGACGGGUAGCCGGCCUGAGAGGGCGACCGGCCACAUUGGGACUGAGAUACGGCCCAGACUCCUACGGGAGGCAGCAGUGGGGAAUAUUGCACAAUGGGCGCAAGCCUGAUGCAGCGACGCCGCGUGAGGGAUGGAGGCCUUCGGGUUGUAAACCUCUUUUGUUAGGGAGCAAGGCACUUUGUGUUGAGUGUACCUUUCGAAUAAGCACCGGCUAACUACGUGCCAGCAGCCGCGGUAAUACGUAGGGUGCAAGCGUUAUCCGGAAUUAUUGGGCGUAAAGGGCUCGUAGGCGGUUCGUCGCGUCCGGUGUGAAAGUCCAUCGCUUAACGGUGGAUCCGCGCCGGGUACGGGCGGGCUUGAGUGCGGUAGGGGAGACUGGAAUUCCCGGUGUAACGG